RNAcentral lists this ribosomal RNA (274 nucleotides) under uncultured bacterium. RNAcentral's name for it is "partial 16S ribosomal RNA". It matches the Rfam family "Bacterial small subunit ribosomal RNA", at positions 523 to 796 of the family's 1533-position model. The record is from RNAcentral.
AUACGGAGGGUGCAAGCGUUACUCGGAAUCACUGGGCGUAAAGCGCGCGCAGGCGGGCUGAUAAGUUGGAUGUGAAAGCCUACGGCUCAACCGUAGAACUGCAUCCAAAACUGUCAGUCUAGAGUGUGGGAGAGGAAGAUGGAAUUAGUUGUGUAGGGGUAAAAUCCGUAGAGAUAACUAGGAAUACCAAAAGCGAAGGCAAUCUUCUGGAACACUACUGACGCUGAGGCCCGAAAGCGUGGGGAGCAAACAGGAUUAGAAACCCUAGUAGUCC